GGCCUGGUGGUCUAGUAGUAUGAUUCCUUCUUAGGGUUAUGCAUCCACAUGGAGGAGGUCCCGGGUUCAAUUCCCGGCCAGGCCC
Molecule: transfer RNA, 85 nt
Filed under: Steccherinum ochraceum
Lineage: Eukaryota; Fungi; Basidiomycota; Agaricomycetes; Polyporales; Steccherinaceae
Rfam family: tRNA
About the family: Transfer RNA (tRNA) molecules are approximately 80 nucleotides in length. Their secondary structure includes four short double-helical elements and three loops (D, anti-codon, and T loops).
Source: Rfam by way of RNAcentral